GCGUGAGUGAAGAAGGCCUUAGGGUUGUAAAGCUCUUUUAUCAGGGAAGAUAAUGACGGUACCUGAAGAAUAAGCCCCGGCAAACUUCGUGCCAGCAGCCGCGGUAAUACGAAGGGGGCUAGCGUUGUUCGGAUUUACUGGGCGUAAAGCGCACGUAGGCGGUCCGUUAAGUCGGGGGUGAAAUCCUGGGGCUCAACCUCAGAAUUGCCUUCGAUACUGGCGGUCUAGAGACCGGAAGAGGUUAGUGGAAUUCCCAGUGUAGAGGUGAAAUUCGU
This 275-nucleotide ribosomal RNA is filed under the name uncultured bacterium. RNAcentral describes it as "partial 16S ribosomal RNA". It matches the Rfam family "Bacterial small subunit ribosomal RNA", at positions 399 to 691 of the family's 1533-position model. The record is from RNAcentral.